ACUCCUACGGGAGGCAGCAGUAGGGAAUCUUCCACAAUGGACGAAAGUCUGAUGGAGCAACGCCGCGUGAGUGAAGAAGGGUUUCGGCUCGUAAAACUCUGUUGUUAAAGAAGAACAUAUCUGAGAGUAACUGUUCAGGUAUUGACGGUAUUUAACCAGAAAGCCACGGCUAACUACGUGCCAGCAGCCGCGGUAAUACGUAGGUGGCAAGCGUUGUCCGGAUUUAUUGGGGCGUAAAGCGAGCGCAGGCGGUUUUUAAGUCUGAUGUGAAAGCCUUCGGCUCAACCGAAGAAGUGCAUCGGAAACUGGGAAACUUGAGUGCAGAAGAGGACAGUGGAACUCCAUGUGUAGCGGUGAAAUGCGUAGAUAUAUGGAAGAACACCAGUGGCGAAGGCGGCUGUCUGGUCUGUAACUGACGCUGAGGCUCGAAAGUAUGGGUAGCGAACAGGAUUAGAUACCCUGGUAGGAUAGCG
RNAcentral lists this ribosomal RNA (473 nucleotides) under uncultured bacterium. Its description in RNAcentral is "bacterial SSU rRNA". It matches the Rfam family "Bacterial small subunit ribosomal RNA", at positions 335 to 802 of the family's 1533-position model. The record is from RNAcentral.